AUUGAAUUUGCAUUAAACACCAGCCUCCAAGGCCAAGUCCAAGACAGAUUUUGGGCAAUUAUUAUGGAUUCCUGACAAUAAGGUGCUGCCAAAAAUUGUUUGAGGAGGGGACAGACACAGUUAACACAUUACUUUAUGAAGUAUUUACAGAGAUACUGAGAUCCUUCAGGAAAAGAAGAGGGAAAUGUUUCUUUACCACCAGGUUGAAAUCAUUUCAAGGUUGCCCCAUAAGAGACACAGGGAAAGAUGGCAUCUGGCAGAGACUGGGAAUAUCCAAGAAGGGAGCCCGACACUCAUGUGGCCAGGUCUGCUGUGAGACCAAGCCUAUGUGAGUUGGCUAGAAAUGAAUACCACUUGGUGGAGAGCUGUCAUCCCAAACCGAGACUAUCCAGGGCGGCCAGCACCCACUUCACCUGCCAGCUAACUUCAGAUACACGAGUGAGCUGA
This 447-nucleotide long non-coding RNA is filed under the name Capra hircus (goat). RNAcentral's name for it is "lncRNA (ENSCHIG00000004575.1)". The record is from RNAcentral. Lineage: Eukaryota; Metazoa; Chordata; Mammalia; Artiodactyla; Bovidae.